Molecule: RNase P RNA, 407 nt
Filed under: Burkholderiales bacterium
Lineage: Bacteria; Pseudomonadati; Pseudomonadota; Betaproteobacteria; Burkholderiales
Description: RNase P RNA component class A
Rfam family: Bacterial RNase P class A
About the family: Ribonuclease P (RNase P) is a ubiquitous endoribonuclease, found in archaea, bacteria and eukarya as well as chloroplasts and mitochondria. Its best characterised activity is the generation of mature 5'-ends of tRNAs by cleaving the 5'-leader elements of precursor-tRNAs. Cellular RNase Ps are ribonucleoproteins.
Source: RNAcentral
GGAGCGGGUCGGACGGUCGCCGGGGCAGCGAUGCCCGGGAGGAAGGUCCGGACUCCAGAGGGCAGGGUGCUGGCUAACGGCCAGGCGCAGCGAGCGUGUCCGAAAGGCGCGCCCAAGGCGACGGACAGUGGCACAGAGAACAGACCGCCGAUGUGGCCGCGCAAGCGGUCGCAGGCAAGGGUGAAACGGUGGGGUAAGAGCCCACCGCGUCCCUGGCGACAGGGGCGGCACGCCAAACCCCACCCGGAGCAACACCAAAUAGGCACGCGCUCGGUGCAGACCGUGGAGGACGCCCCUCCGAGCGUGCGGGUUGGUGGCUCGAGCCCCCGGGUAACCGGGGGCCUAGACGAAUGACCGUCCGCCGGGAGACCGGCGUACAGAAUCCGGCCUACAGACCCGCUCCACUC